Hypanus sabinus (Atlantic stingray) is the source of this 933-nucleotide long non-coding RNA. RefSeq lists it as uncharacterized. The record is from RefSeq and is a predicted model, not a curated record. The transcript is spliced from 3 exons. NCBI's taxonomy places the organism in Eukaryota, Metazoa, Chordata, Chondrichthyes, Myliobatiformes, Dasyatidae.
GAGCUAAAGGAAAGCAGUGAGUGAAGAGGCCCAGGAAAAUCUGAUAUAGCUCUGGAGAAAAACCUGUGAAGACAUGUACAGUUCAACUUUGAAUAGACUGAAGGAAACCUUAGCAAGUACUCGUUUUGCAUACUCACAUGAUUAGCAAUUUCCUCACAUGGUAUGAAAGCACAGAGCCAAAAUGACCUCUUUCACAUUAAAGAGAUUUGUGUCUAACGCAGUUCACAUAUGGAAACCUUCAGCUCUCAGCGUGCCUUAAUGUGAGUGAUACGGUGCAGAGUAGGGCCUUCUUGCCCUUUGAGCCACGCUGCCCCAGCAACUCCACAACCUCGAUUAACCCCAGCUUAAUCAUGGGACAGUUUACAAUGACCAAUCAAUCCAGCCAGCGUGUCUUUGGACUGUGGGAGGAAGCCAGAACACCGGGGGAGAAGCCCGUGAAUUUCACAAGGAAGGUGUGCAGAUUUCCCUUACAGAACAGCACCAGAAUUGAAUUACAAACUGCAAUUUUUAUGCAUCAAAACUAAAACUAAUGGCAAAAAUUACUGUGAAAUCUACAGCUCGAAUAUUGUCUCCUCUGGGGCAAAACUCUACCCAGGAGGGCUUAAACCUAAAGUAGGCCCUGCAGUACAUUGGUCCAAUAAAUAAAAGCUGCAUACUAUUUGUAUCUUGUGAAUCAUUUUACCAUACUAACUGUUGGAGGUUAUUUUUAUCUUAUUGCUCAUUAAUAUUUUGAGUUAAGUAAUACUGUCUUGAGUUACUUUGUUCCACCAUUUAAGAGGGUUUAGAGACCGCUAUGUAUUAAACUCUGGAAGUUUUUCCCUAAAGCCUGCCUGUUUUCCUCCUUCAUUAACAUAUUAAUUAAACCUACUUCUCUCCAAGUUUGGUUCAGCUGUUUUAAUAUCCCGAUAUAAGGCUUGCUGUAAAAUUUUGAUA